UCUUUUCUCUCCUCAAACCCUAAAAGUGACUGAAAAAAACCUAGAACACGCCUCUCCGCCGUCGCAAACCGUUGAAUCACAGAAGAUGAAUCAGUUUUAUCCGCCGAAAAGAUUCGUUCUCUUCAAUCUCAGUUUUUCGCAAAUCACCCCGCACAUUUGCGCCUUCUUAAGCGUUAGAUCCGCACAAUUUUUCAUGCUUGGUGUAUGGUGGAGGAAGUGUUAGACUGAUGGGGUUGAUAUCUCAGAAUAUGUAUAGUGGUGGCUGCAAUGUUCUAUGGAUAAAUGAAGAAACGUGUUUUAUAUUCAUUCAAAUGUUGUUAUUCUAAAACUUGGGCAUAACUUGGAAUUCAUAUAAAAACGGGUUGGCCUACUGAAUGUUGAGGGUUACUAUAACUUUUUGCUUGCACUAUUUGACAAUGAUGUUGAAGAAGACUCAUUAAGCCCGGUGCUCAGAAUAUAGUUGUCUCAACUUCAUCCGCCAAAGAACUUAUGAUGGAGUUGGAGGUUAAUGGGGUUGGUGAUGUUGUGUGGUAAAUCAUGUUGAUCAAUUAAACAAAGAAGAGAAAGCCUACCUUGAAUAACAUUAUUAUCUUGAUAAAUUUUUUCCAAUGCAGGAACGCAAAAUGCAGCAAUUUUGCCUGUCCCGUUUUAGCCCAAGCAAGAAUGUCACUACCAGUAAGGGAAAUUGGAAUGCUUUCUUCUUGGAUAGGGGAUGACCUUUCAAACCCCUUCUCAUAUAUUCCCAUUAGCAGCUCACGCUUCAAAAAGGCAAAUAAGAGCUUGAUGCUGCAAGUUUGCAAGAACAUGAAGAGCUCCUAUUUAACUUGGAAGAUAUGAGAUUGAGGUGGUACUUCGCACCAUUCUUUUGUGAGUUUUACCUAAAUUUCAUGAAGCGCAAAGAGUAGAUUCAGAGGCAUAUGGUCAAUAGUCAUAAUUUGGAUAAAGUUCGGAAAUUAAAAAGUGAAAUAACUAGGUUGGCAAUCGGCUAAGAACACUCCAGCUGAUGGAGCUACUGCUCUCCAUCUGCUGUGAGGAAGGAAAUAGCCAGAGGAAACAGAUCGAAUAACUGGGAAGUCAAAGCAGAUUUCAAAUCAUCCCAUUCAUCUCAGCAUUUAUUCUCCAAAUGGUUUGUAGCUGCACUGUCCAUCUAUAACAUGAUAGAUUAAACAUGAAUCCAAUUUGAUUGGCUUUUAGAAUUGGUAAGAGUUGCCUUUUUAUUUCCUUGCUAUCAUUGAGAAGCAACAGAUACUCCAUAGCACACUUUUUUCAAGACAGUUGGGGGUAAUUUUCAUGCAGAUCCCACUUAUCAUGUGGGUUCCAUUCACAAUUCUAAGGUCCAAAAUAAGCUAAAGUUUACACUAAUGCUUGUGUAAUUUUCUAAACUUUGAAAUUCGCUUGUCCUUUUGUAGUGGUGAAUGUUUACAGUAACUGACCAUUACCAUACACCACACGAAGUUGAAGUUUUU
This is a long non-coding RNA of Vicia villosa (hairy vetch), 1466 nucleotides long. RefSeq lists it as uncharacterized. The record is from RefSeq and is a predicted model, not a curated record. The transcript has 8 exons. NCBI's taxonomy places the organism in Eukaryota, Viridiplantae, Streptophyta, Magnoliopsida, Fabales, Fabaceae.